Long non-coding RNA from Hypanus sabinus (Atlantic stingray), 1712 nucleotides. RefSeq lists it as uncharacterized. The record is from RefSeq and is a predicted model, not a curated record. The transcript has 3 exons. Lineage: Eukaryota; Metazoa; Chordata; Chondrichthyes; Myliobatiformes; Dasyatidae.
UUUGUCGUGCAGAAUCCUGGUCUCAGUUCUGCAGGAAAGAUAUCUGUGUCUGAGAGAUGCCGCACAAAGAAACUGAUUUUGGGCUUAGGUACCAAACAAAAACGGCCGUGAGGAGAGGCAGCAAAUGUUUAACAUAGUUGAGGACGUGCUUUGGGGAUAAUAUUAUUAACAAAAAUUAUUAUGGAGAAUAAAAGAUCAUAAGCAUUGCCUUCUACAAAAGGACUUGAUUUCAAAUUUGAAAGGUGGGAUGUGAAAGCUCAAUUUAGUGACAUCUCGUCACAAAUGCGGUUAGUCUGGGUUAACAAGAGGGGAUGGUUGUGUUAGUAAAUUCAAGAGAGCGCUGGAUAGUGAAAGAGAGUCAAUGCGAGAUAUAAACACUGCAGUGGCCAGAUGCAUUGCAGUAGUUUCUGAUUCACUAACUUGAUGCUGGAUCAAGAACUCACUCACACACUUAUUAAAAAAGAACUGUGUUUAGUUGUGUAGAGGAUGGAGAAAUCUGCAUGCCUUGCUUAAUCCUUCAGAUCUGGUUUGCAAAUUGCAGCGGCUAUUAAACUCAUUUCAGCCUGUUCUGUAAGUAAACAUCUGCACUAUCUUCGCAAGGGUUUCACGUCACACCCCAACCCCAUCAAAAAACUUCAGGGGAUAUUAAAACUGACAGCAAGAAUAAUUAAUAUGCAGCUGGAAAUGAUUUUACAGUUACUUGAUCAUGGCUCUCACACUCAGUUUAAUUUGUAUAUCUUAAUUUCAGGAUCUGCUUUGCAGCUGUGACUGGCUAUUGCAGAUACAGCAAACAGGAGAAGCUCUUAUUAAUAACUGCUAGACUGAAGUGUGUGAAAAUCCCAGGAGAUCAGCAGUUUCGGAGAUACUCAAACCACCCCAUAUGGCACCCUACAAUCGUUACUUGUUCAAAGUCACUUAGAUCACAUUUCUCCACCAUUCUGAUGUUUGGUCUGAACAACAACUGAACCUCUUGACCAGUGACCCAGCAGUGGAUUCAAUGCCAGAAAGUCUGUUGCAGUUCCGUAUUGAGGGAGUUGACACCUUUUCACAAUAUUGCACUGCAUCACGGGAGGCCCUGUUAAUGAGAGCGGAUUCAGUCGUCAGAGAGAUCAUUUGGAGAAGGAAGUCACUUUCAUCACAGAUAUAGCUGUGGGUGCAACCUCACAACGAUCUUGGAAUGGAAGACUGGUUUAUAGCUAUGUUGCAUAAAAAUGAGAGAAUGUUACUUUCUGGAAAGAAAAGUGCUGCAAUCUAGCUGAACAUUCAAAUGCUAAAGAUGAUUUCUUGAUUUCCAAUCUACAUUGUCAAGGCCGAUGCACUUAAUUUGUCAUCUGCACUGCACUUUCUCUGCAGCUGCAACACUGCAUUUCGUGUUUCUUUUUUAUUACCUCAAUAUAUGGCAAGAAAAUGAAUCUUGGAAUAGUUUGUGGUGGCAUAUAUGUGGACUUUGAUAAUAAAUUUAUUUUGAACCUUAAACUUUGAUCUGGCUGGAUAGCAUGCACUCUUUUCUCGGUACAUACGGUAAUAGUAAAACCAAUGCAGGUGACAGUUACUGUAACUGGAAAUCAAAGAGAAGCACAAGGGAAUCUUGAUGCUGAUGAUUUUGGACAUAAAUUGCACCAUUGCAUCUCAGCGUCAAGCAGAAUAGUAACAAACAAUUCGCUGGAGAAACUCGGGGGGUUGAGCAGCAUAUGUGGAUAGAAAAGAAUUAU